GAUGAAGAACGUAGCGAAAUGCGAUAAGUAAUGUGAAUUGCAGAAUUCAGUGAAUCAUCGAAUCUUUGAACGCACCUUGCGCUCCUUGGCAUUCCGAGCAGCAUGCCUGUUUGAGUGUCAUUAAAUUCUCAAGACCUGUCUGCUUUUUUGAUAGGUAUUGGAUUUUGGGGGUUGCAGGCUGUUUCAAAUAAAUAGCCUUGCUCUCCUUGAAUGUAUUAGUGGAGAAAAGCCAUUGAACUCCAUUGGUGUGAUAAAACCUAUCAAUGCCAGGAGCAAUAUUACUACUUCUCUCUGCUGUCUAACUGUGACUGUCUGUAUUAAUUAGUAUGGAUGGGGACAACUUGACCAACUUGACCUCAAAUCAGGUAGGACUACCCGCUGAACUUAAGCAUAUCAAUAAGCGGAGGA
RNAcentral lists this unclassified non-coding RNA (408 nucleotides) under soil metagenome. RNAcentral's name for it is "partial contains 5.8S ribosomal RNA, internal transcribed spacer 2, and large subunit ribosomal RNA". The stretch from base 1 to 120 matches the Rfam family "5.8S ribosomal RNA", at positions 35 to 154 of the family's 154-position model. The record is from RNAcentral.